Molecule: ribosomal RNA, 430 nt
Filed under: uncultured bacterium
Lineage: Bacteria
Description: bacterial SSU rRNA
Rfam family: Bacterial small subunit ribosomal RNA
Source: RNAcentral
AGUGGCGAACGGGUGAGUAACACGUGAGAAACCUGCCCCGGAGACUGGGAUAACCCGAGGAAACUCGGGCUAAUACCGGAUACCUUCCGAGCGUCGCAUGGCGCACGGAAGAAAUGGUCCGCCGCUCUGGGAGGGUCUCGCGGCCUAUCAGCUUGUUGGUGAGGUAAUGGCUCACCAAGGCAUCGACGGGUAGCUGGUCUGAGAGGACGAUCAGCCACACUGGGACUGAGACACGGCCCAGACUCCUACGGGAGGCAGCAGUGGGGAAUCUUGCGCAAUGGGCGAAAGCCUGACGCAGCAACGCCGCGUGAGGGAAGACGGCUCUCGGGUUGUAAACCUCUUUCAGCAGGGACGAAAUUGACGGUACCUGCAGAAGAAGCGCCGGCCAACUACGUGCCAGCAGCCGCGGUAACACGUAGGGCGCAAGCGU